Agrilus planipennis (emerald ash borer) is the source of this 1235-nucleotide long non-coding RNA. RefSeq lists it as uncharacterized. Lineage: Eukaryota; Metazoa; Arthropoda; Insecta; Coleoptera; Buprestidae. The record is from RefSeq and is a predicted model, not a curated record. The transcript is spliced from 5 exons.
GUAUUGCGAGACUUCAGUCUUAAUUUUUUUCUGAAAAGUCCCAUUUAGCGGUUAUAGCGCCACUACAUUAUGGAUUCUGUCUCUCAUUACAAUUCAUAGAAAAGUUUAAUUUGAACAUAAAAUAAUAAAUGUUGUCUUGGUGAUAUGAUUUUCCAUCUACGCUCUAUAGUUUUUCCUUCACAGUAAUCUGUAUAUCGACAGCAUGUGCAUCUUGUCAUCUUGCCAUUUUGUAUUAAAAGCGACCCGACGUCGCCAUUUUUAAAAUUUUGCAGUCUUGAUUAUCGGUGCGUAUUAUCAUUGUAUUUCAUAUUUUUAUUGAUAAAUAGUGUAGUUUAUUCAUUUUUAUUCUCUGUUUUUACAGAUUGACGAUAACAUCAAGAGUGGAAGGGUGUUCAUUUUGAUGUUACUGAAAAAGAACUUUAUCUGCCGUGUCGUUCUACCUGUUAACAUUUCUUAGAAAAUAUUGCAGUUAGGACAGUGGAUGUGCGUUUGGUCCUAAAGAAAGCAUGAAAGUGCCUUUUGUCCGUUGGAAAUGGAGGCAGUGUGCUCUUGCUAAGGGAAUGAUAUAUAUGAAAAUGAACCGAUUGUCCAAAUUAGAACGAAUUGGCGUUAAUUUUGGUGCUACUGAAACAUUCGAUGUUCUUGAUGUCUUCGCCUUGUAACAUUGUGCAGUUAAUUUAUUCCUGGAAAUAGGAGGCAGUAACAAAUUAAUUUGAGAGCCAUUAAACAACAAAUUCUCUGCAGUGGCAUCCCUCCUAGAUUUGGUUUGCUCAUUAUGUUGGUAGACUUUGGACGCUACUUUCUACAGCUGAUUAAGAUGGUUCAACGAAUGAGAGACUUAAAGUUCAAUUUGGUCGUACUGAAACAACCAAUAUCUACAUGGGUGUGGUCUUUUGUGAACUAUAUUCUUGAUUUGCUAUUUUCGUCUUCGCCUUGCAACAUUAUGCAGUUAAUUUUCAACCCAUGAGUGAGAGCAACUGGAUAUUUACUUGAAUUCCACUUAUAUAACAAAUUAUCUGCUGUGGUAUUCCUUCUGGAGUUGGUUUGCUUUUUACACCUGUAAACUCUGGAACGUUACGUUCUACAAUUAAUUAAGAUUCACGUUGGAGAAGAUAAAGAUGACCCCAUUGUUAAAUUAGUUCUUUGUCUUGCAUGCUGUAUCUAGUAGAAUUCAUUAAGUUCAUUUUAUUCAAAUUAUUUUCUUAGUUUGAUGUUUUUUUGUAGUUAAUUUGAAU